GAUGAACGCUGGCGGCGUGCAUAACACAUGCAAGUCGAACGGAGUUGCGAUGAAACCUAGUGAUUUGCAACUUAGUGGCGGACGGGUGAGUAACGCGUGGGUAACCUACCUGGUAUUGGGGGACGAACAGUUAGAAAUGACUGCUAAUACCGCAUACGUGAUCGAGAGGGCAUCCUCUUGAUGAGAAAGGAGCAAUCCGACAUCAGAUGGACCCGCGUCUGAUUAGCUAGUUGGUGAGGUAACGGCCCACCAAGGCGACGAUCAGUAGCCGAACUGAGAGGUUGACCGGCCACAUUGGGACUGAGACACGGCCCAAACUCC
RNAcentral lists this ribosomal RNA (321 nucleotides) under uncultured Lachnospiraceae bacterium. RNAcentral's name for it is "bacterial SSU rRNA". It matches the Rfam family "Bacterial small subunit ribosomal RNA", at positions 28 to 339 of the family's 1533-position model. Lineage: Bacteria; Bacillati; Bacillota; Clostridia; Lachnospirales; Lachnospiraceae. The record is from RNAcentral.